RNAcentral lists this transfer RNA (77 nucleotides) under Escherichia coli. Its description in RNAcentral is "tRNA-Arg". It matches the Rfam family "tRNA". Rfam says of the family: Transfer RNA (tRNA) molecules are approximately 80 nucleotides in length. Their secondary structure includes four short double-helical elements and three loops (D, anti-codon, and T loops). Further hydrogen bonds mediate the characteristic L-shaped molecular structure. tRNAs have two regions of fundamental functional importance: the anti-codon, which is responsible for specific mRNA codon recognition, and the 3' end, to which the tRNAs corresponding amino acid is attached (by aminoacyl-tRNA synthetases). tRNAs cope with the degeneracy of the genetic code in two manners: having more than one tRNA (with a specific anti-codon) for a particular amino acid; and 'wobble' base-pairing, i.e. permitting non-standard base-pairing at the 3rd anti-codon position. Lineage: Bacteria; Pseudomonadati; Pseudomonadota; Gammaproteobacteria; Enterobacterales; Enterobacteriaceae. The record is from RNAcentral. RNAcentral also lists the same sequence under 5 other names.
GCACCCUUAGCUCAGCUGGAUAGAGUACUCGGCUACGAACCGAGCGGUCGGAGGUUCGAAUCCUCCAGGGUGCACCA